RNAcentral lists this ribosomal RNA (675 nucleotides) under uncultured Curvibacter sp. RNAcentral's name for it is "bacterial SSU rRNA". It matches the Rfam family "Bacterial small subunit ribosomal RNA", at positions 94 to 765 of the family's 1533-position model. The record is from RNAcentral. Lineage: Bacteria; Pseudomonadati; Pseudomonadota; Betaproteobacteria; Burkholderiales; Comamonadaceae.
AGUGGCGAACGGGUGAGUAAAGUAUCGGAACGUGCCCAGUCGUGGGGGAUAACGUAGCGAAAGUUACGCUAAUACCGCAUACGAUCUAUGGAUGAAAGCGGGGGAUCGCAAGACCUCGCGCGAUUGGAGCGGCCGAUAUCAGAUUAGGUAGUUGGUGGGGUAAAGGCUCACCAAGCCGACGAUCUGUAGCUGGUCUGAGAGGACGACCAGCCACACUGGGACUGAGACACGGCCCAGACUCCUACGGGAGGCAGCAGUGGGGAAUUUUGGACAAUGGGCGCAAGCCUGAUCCAGCCAUGCCGCGUGCAGGAUGAAGGCCUUCGGGUUGUAAACUGCUUUUGUACGGAACGAAAAGGUUUGGCCUAAUAAGCUGAGCUCAUGACGGUACCGUAAGAAUAAGCACCGGCUAACUACGUGCCAGCAGCCGCGGUAAUACGUAGGGUGCGAGCGUUAAUCGGAAUUACUGGGGCGUAAAGCGUGCGCAGGCGGUUAUGUAAGACAGAUGUGAAAUCCCCGGGCUCAACCUGGGAACUGCAUUAGUGACUGCAUAGCUGGAGUACGGCAGAGGGGGAUGGAAUUCCGCGUGUAGCAGUGAAAUGCGUAGAUAUGCGGAGGAACACCGAUGGCGAAGCAAUCCCCUGGGCCUGUACUGACGCUCAUGCACGAAAGCGUGGG